This 429-nucleotide ribosomal RNA is filed under the name bacterium. RNAcentral describes it as "partial 16S ribosomal RNA". It matches the Rfam family "Bacterial small subunit ribosomal RNA", at positions 355 to 776 of the family's 1533-position model. The record is from RNAcentral.
UGGGGAAUUUUGGACAAUGGGGGCAACCCUGAUCCAGCCAUUCCGCGUGAGUGAAGAAGGCCUUCGGGUUGUAAAGCUCUUUCAGCUGGAACGAAACGGUGCGCUCUAACAUAGCGUGCUAAUGACGGUACCAGCAGAAGAAGCACCGGCUAACUACGUGCCAGCAGCCGCGGUAAUACGUAGGGUGCGAGCGUUAAUCGGAAUUACUGGGCGUAAAGCGUGCGCAGGCGGAUUGUUAAGCAAGACGUGAAAUCCCCGGGCUUAACCUGGGAAUGGCGUUUUGAACUGGCAGUCUAGAGUGCGUCAGAGGGGGGUGGAAUUCCACGUGUAGCAGUGAAAUGCGUAGAGAUGUGGAGGAACACCGAUGGCGAAGGCAGCCCCCUGGGAUGACACUGACGCUCAUGUACGAAAGCGUGGGUAGCAAACAGG